Molecule: ribosomal RNA, 253 nt
Filed under: uncultured bacterium
Lineage: Bacteria
Description: partial 16S ribosomal RNA
Rfam family: Bacterial small subunit ribosomal RNA
Source: RNAcentral
UACAGAGGGGGCGAGCGUUAUUCGGAAUUAUUGGGCGUAAAGGGCGCGUAGGCGGCCAAGCAAGUCUUGGGUGAAAUCCCUCGGCUCAACCGAGGAACUGCCUCGGAUACUGCUUGGCUUGAGGCCGGGAGAGGGUGGUGGAAUUCCCAGUGUAGCGGUGAAAUGCGUAGAUAUUGGGAGGAACACCAGUGGCGAAGGCGGCCACCUGGACCGGUCCUGACGCUGAGGCGCGAAAGCGUGGGGAGCAAACAGG